UUUGUCUACCUGUCUGUCCUUUAC
RNAcentral lists this non-coding RNA (24 nucleotides) under Mus musculus (house mouse). Lineage: Eukaryota; Metazoa; Chordata; Mammalia; Rodentia; Muridae. The record is from RNAcentral.